AUCCUCUUGCUACAUCCUCCCUGAGUGCUGGGAUUACAGGUUGGACAAGAUGCUCCUAAUUCAUCAAACUCAAAACCACAGAGUCCACUAUAAUCCACCAGACAUAAUUCUGAAAAGUUUUGCUCUGCCUCAGCCAUCGAACAAAUACACUGCCUUCUCCUUAAUAUUAAUUAAUAUGGCUCUUGCUCUGUUAUUCAGACUUGUCUUGAACUUUCUAUUAGCCCAGGCUGGCUGUGAACUCAUGGCAAUCCUCCUGCCUCAGCCUCCCGAGUGCUGGACUUACAGGCAUGCACCACUAUGCUUGGCUUGUGUGUGUGUUAACAUUACUUUGUUAAAUAUAAACACUAUAUACAACAUCUUUAUAACUGUUUUGCAGUUUUUCUUUUCUUUAAAUAUAGCUGUGAUCUCAAAAAUCAAAGCAAUCUAGGAUUGUGGAUUUCUGAAAGGCCUAAGCAAGCCAUUAACAUCCUUCCUUUUCUAUACUCCUAGGGUUUAGGGGUGGCAUGAACCCUAAUCAUUCUCCCCUACAUAAACUUUCCUAUUUUGGACUCUCUUAAACAUUGCCCAGCAGAUUCUGAUAGAGCAAUUUUCUCAUGUUUAUGCUCAACCAUUUUCCAAGGAAGAGAUGUUAUAUAUACUUGUGACUAGGGGCCAGAAAUUAUUUAACUCUGAACAUGUUGAGCAUUCUAUGGUCUCCUCCAUGUCUCCCUCUCCCAGGAGGAUAUUCCAUUUGCUGAGUCCACACAAUG
This is a long non-coding RNA of Fukomys damarensis (Damara mole-rat), 749 nucleotides long. RefSeq lists it as uncharacterized. The transcript has 3 exons. The record is from RefSeq and is a predicted model, not a curated record. NCBI's taxonomy places the organism in Eukaryota, Metazoa, Chordata, Mammalia, Rodentia, Bathyergidae.